AGAGUUGGAUCCUGGCUCAGGAUGAACGCUAGCGGCAGGCUUAACACAUGCAAGUCGAGGGGUAACAGGAGUAGCAAUACUUGCUGACGACCGGCGCACGGGUGAGUAACGCGUAUGCAACCUACCUCUAACUGGGGAAUAGCUCUCGGAAACGGGAAUUAAUACCCCAUAAUAUCACGAAAUUUUAUGUUUUUGUGAUUAAAGUUCCGGCGGUUAGAGAUGGGCAUGCGUGCCAUUAGUUUGUUGGUGAGGUAACGGCUCACCAAGACUAUGAUGGCUAGGGGGUCUGAGAGGAUGAUCCCCCACACUGGUACUGAGAUACGGACCAGACUCCUACGGGAGGCAGCAGUGAGGAAUAUUGGUCAAUGGGCGAAAGCCUGAACCAGCCAUGCCGCGUGCAGGAUGAAUGCCCUAUGGGUUGUAAACUGCUUUUAUACAGGAAGAAACUUCCGAUCGUGAUCGGAACUGACGGUACUGUACGAAUAAGCAUCGGCUAACUCCGUGUUAGUAGUUGUGGUAAUACGGAGGAUGCAAGCGUUAUCCGGAUUUAUUGGGUUUAAAGGGUGCGUAGGCGGAAGAAUAAGUCAGUGGUGAAAUCCUGCAGCUUAACUGUAGAAUUGCCAUUGAUACUGUUUUUCUUGAGUAUAGUUGAGGUGGGCGGAAUGUGUAAUGUAGUGGUGAAAUGUUUAGAUAUUACACAGAAUUUUAAUUGUGUAGGUAGCUCACUAAGCUAUUACUGACGCUGAGGCACGAAAGCGUGGGGAGCGAACAGGAUUAGAUACCCUGGUAGUCCACGCCGUAAACGAUGAUCACUCGUUGUUGGCGAUAUAUAGUCAGUGACCAAGCGAAAGCAUUAAGUGAUCCACCUGGGGAGUACGAUCGCAAGAUUGAAACUCAAAGGAAUUGACGGGGGCCCGCACAAGCGGAGGAACAUGUGGUUUAAUUUGAUGAUAUGUGAGGAAUUUUAUCUGGGCUUAAAUGCAGGAUGAUAGAUUGGGAAAUUGAUUUUUUUUGGAUGGACUGCAAGGUGCUGCAUGGUUGUUGUCAGUUUGUGUUGUGAGGUGUUGGGUUAAGUUUCAUAACGAGUGUAAUCCUUAUUGUUAGUUACCAGUGAGUAAUGUUGGGAAUUUUAGUGAAAUUGUUGGUGUAAAUUGUGAGGAAGGUGGGGAUGACGUUAAAUCAGCACGGCCCUUAUGUCCAGGGUUAUACACGUGUUACAAUGGUCAGUAUAAAGGGUAGUUAUUUGGUGAUAGGAUGUUAAUUUUUAAAACUGAUCUCAGUUCGGAUCGAAGUCUGUAAUUUGACUUCGUGAAGCUGGAUUCGCUAGUAAUCGCGCAUCAGCCAUGGCGCGGUGAAUAUGUUUCCGGGCCUUGUACACACCGCCCGUCAAGCCAUGGAAGCUGGGGGUACCUAAAGUCUGUAACCGUAAGGAGCGGCCUAGGGUAAAACUAGUGACUGGGGCUAAGUUGAAACAAGGUA
RNAcentral lists this ribosomal RNA (1479 nucleotides) under metagenome. RNAcentral's name for it is "bacterial SSU rRNA". It matches the Rfam family "Bacterial small subunit ribosomal RNA". The record is from RNAcentral.